GUGUCAGCAGCCGCGGUAAUACGUAGGGUGCAGGCGUUAAUCGGAAUUACUGGGCGUAAAGCGUGCGCAGGCGGCCUCUUAAGUCAGAUGUGAAAUCCCCGGGCUUAACCUGGGAACUGCGUUUGAAACUGGGAGGCUAGAGUGUGGAAGAGGGGGGUGGAAUUCCAGGUGUAGCAGUGAAAUGCGUAGAGAUCUGGAGGAACACCGAUGGCGAAGGCAGCCCCCUGGGCUGACACUGACGCUCAUGCACGAAAGCGUGGGGAGCAAACAGGAUUAGAAACCCUCGUAGUCC
This 292-nucleotide ribosomal RNA is filed under the name uncultured bacterium. Its description in RNAcentral is "partial 16S ribosomal RNA". It matches the Rfam family "Bacterial small subunit ribosomal RNA", at positions 505 to 796 of the family's 1533-position model. The record is from RNAcentral.